UGGUGGACUGCUUUUUGCUACUGUUGUUUUAUUUUGUUGUUGUUGUUUUUUAAUCUCAACUAUUCUUUCACUUAUGGGGGUAAACAGAGUAAUGACAGUCAAAUUACAACACCUGCUUUGGGAUUCUGGGUAACAUGUUAUUGCGGCUGUUGUCUUCUAUUAAAGACAAAGAGAGAGCCUACCUUGACCUCUUGAAUGAUUUUCGUUGCCAAGAUGAGAAGGAUCAGCAGACACAGUCUACCUGAAGAGCUACACAAAACAGCAAAGAAGUAUGUUGUGAAGUAUUGGAGAAUAUUCAAGGAAGCAGAUGAAAGGAGAAGACUCCUUCUCAACUAUUUCCACUAGGAUAGUUCUAAAGUGCUUCACUAUUUAAAGAAGACUUUUUCUGAUAGAGAUAGAUGAAGUGACAGAGAGAAGGUAAAGUACCACAGCACUGAAGUUUCCCCCAAUGCAGUGAGAGCCAGGUUCAAAACUGGGUCACACACCCAGCAAAACAGACACCUUACCAGGUAAAAUCUUGCUGAAAAAGACGAGAGCAUUCCACAGCUAUCAACGGUGAAGUCUAGUGAAUCCUUUGUUGAUUUACACCAGAAACAGAAAAGAAAAUUUCAGUGGAGGCAAGUCCAUUUCCACCAAAUAAAAAGCAACUUUUCCAGAGUCGUUUCAAAGAGGUGAGCAGUUAACCUACAAUGUAUGCAGAUAUCUUCAGCUCUAUGUCCUCAAGAAAAUUUCUCAUUAUAUUUUUCACUCCAGACCAUCACAAUCCUUGCUUCUUCUCUGACACAUGGCUAUGAAGAACAAGAGCAAGGCAUUCAGUUUGCACCCAGGUACUCCUACUGAAAAACUUUGCUUUGUCACGGCACUAAGAGAAGAAGUUAGAUAAUCCUGUUUAGGAGAAUUACAAACAAGGAACAGAAACUUUCAACUUUUUUUUAUUUUUAACUUAGGUUGGAAUCUCAUGACCCAAGAUUUUGCAAGUCCUGAAGGAAAGUCAUCUCAGGCAACGAAGAGUCUUAUGAUACAUUCCCCUGCAAUCACUUAAUUGUUAAUCCUCUGAUUCAUAAAGGAAGAGAAGGAUACCAGUAAAUACAAUUUUAGAAUUCAAAGAAGAAAUACGUAUCACCUGAUAAUUCAUCAUCCAUUGUUUUCUAAUCUUAUAAAUUGAGAUCAUCUUUCCAAACUAAUACUUCUCUCUUUUCUAUGUAUAUACACCCUCUAGGCUGUGAGUUAUACUUCUGUAUAAGUCCAACUCCUGGCACAAAAACUGGCACAGAUGAGGUGCUUGGUUAAGUAUUUGUUCAAUAAAGUGCCAGAUACAUCUUGAUCUUUACAAAGGAUGUACCUAUGGAUAAAUUCAUUUUUUAUUAUUCAGUAAUAAAUUAUGCAUAGUAAACAGUUCUAGAUAACUCUCCUCAUGUCUAAGUAGGUAAUGCACCAAGUUACCUGUUCCUAUCCCAGCUAAUUUGAGAUUUCUUUCACCUCUGCUCUCUCCAUUUUUUUUUUUUUUUGGCUGGGGGUUGGAGGGAUACAGAGAAUGACUGAGUAUCACCCAUCCAUCAAUCAUUGUUUUGGCAUGAAUGAAGUCAUAUGUAUCAGAACUAAGGGAGAGUGCAAGAAAGUUCAUCUAGUAUGACUGACUUCUGCCCACCACAAGCAUGACCCUGGUUCAAACCCUAACACCACAUGAGAAGGCCACACCAAGGGAAGCACUGAUGCUGUGGUGACUAUUGCGUCUCUUUAGCUCUCUGUCUGAAAUGAAAAGAAUCAAAAGCUGGCCCACACGUUAUGAAGUCCUAUAUGCUCAAGACCUUGCCUCUACAAUAGGAAAAAAAGAGAUAUGAACUAAACAGAAAAGGUAAAAAUAAUCAGUUAACUCUUUCUAUGUACACUUCAAAUUCUGCUG
Molecule: long non-coding RNA, 1903 nt
Organism: Erinaceus europaeus (western European hedgehog)
Lineage: Eukaryota; Metazoa; Chordata; Mammalia; Eulipotyphla; Erinaceidae
Exons: 4
Source: RefSeq, a predicted model, not a curated record